RNAcentral lists this long non-coding RNA (894 nucleotides) under Ananas comosus (pineapple). RNAcentral describes it as "long non-coding RNA (ACOM_LNC036072)". Lineage: Eukaryota; Viridiplantae; Streptophyta; Magnoliopsida; Poales; Bromeliaceae. The record is from RNAcentral.
AAUAACUUUGAUCUAAAAUUUUAAUGUCAUAUCAUCAUAUUUUGUAAGAUUUUUAUUUUCAGCCGUUGAUUUUGAGCCACUUCGAUUACUAGGCAAAUGAUAUGGAAAAAUCACAAAAUUUAUUUUCUAGAUACUUCAAAUACUCUAGAUCAAGUCUAACGGAGCCGAUCGUCGAUUCGAAAGUCCGAACAUCGAAAAUAAAGUGGAAGCAUGGAGCCCUCUGUGCUUCUAUAAGCAUCCUAGCCGCACUAUAUAUAUAUAUAUAUAUAUAUAUAUGAGAGAGAAAAAGUGGGUGAGUGGUCCACAGUUGGACCACUCAUGCGGUCCACGAGAAUCAGGUUUUCUCGUGGACCGUGAUUUUUUCAACGCUGUGAGCCGCGCCUUUUGGGAUCAAGUUUUCGUUUUCCGCCCGCUGUGGGCGGAAAACAAAAACUUUGUUUUUUACGCAGAAUCCGUAAAAAUUUUUUUCUGGCAACUUUUUUUUACGAGUAACCAAACAAGGGAAAACCAAUUUUCAAGCGAAAAAAAUUUUCAGAGUAGUUUUACAGACAACCAAACACCGCCUAAGUAAAUUAUUCUGCACUGACAAGUAGUUUUGAACCCUUUACCUUUUCCAUUUUUUAAAGAAAACUUCUAAUGUCACGCUAUGGUUUAGUGCUUUCUUAUUGUAAUAUUAUGCGAUCUCAUUUUUCCCUUUUCGUUACCACCUCCAUUAAAACAUAUAAAAGAACUUCAUACUCCCAUUAUGGCUUAUUAAAUAUUCACUUUGGUACACUGUAGGUUACAAAAUUUUCACUUUAGUAAACUAUGGUUUUAACUUUUUCACUGAUUUAACGAUUUAAACCACAAAAUCCUAAAGUGAAAAAGCCCUAAACCAUAGAUCAAAGUGACUAA